RNAcentral lists this ribosomal RNA (447 nucleotides) under uncultured bacterium. Its description in RNAcentral is "partial 16S ribosomal RNA". It matches the Rfam family "Bacterial small subunit ribosomal RNA", at positions 338 to 795 of the family's 1533-position model. The record is from RNAcentral.
GCUACGGGUGGCAGCAGUGAGGAAUCUUGGUCAAUGGCCGAGAGGCUGAACCAGCCAAGUCGCGUGAGGGAAGACGGCCCUACGGGUGGUAAACCUCUUUUGUCGGGGAGCAAAGCGAGUCACGUGUGACUCCUUGAGAGUACCCGAAGAAAAAGCAUCGGCUAACUCCGUGCCAGCAGCCGCGGUAAUACGGAGGAUGCGAGUGUUAUCCGGAUUUAUUGGGUUGAAAGGGUGCGAAGGCGGAGGUGAAAGUCUGUGGCUCAACCAGAGAAUUGCCGUUGAAACUGGAGGGCUUGAGUAUGUAUGAGGAGGGCGGAAUGCGUGGUGUAGCGGUGAAAUGCGUAGAUAUCACGCAGAACCCCGGUUGCGAAGGCAGCCUGCCAGGCCAUGACUGACGCUGAUGCACGAAAGCGUGGGGAUCAAACAGGAUUAGAUACCCGUGUAGUC